This is a long non-coding RNA of Phyllostomus discolor (pale spear-nosed bat), 1545 nucleotides long. RefSeq lists it as uncharacterized. The transcript has 2 exons. NCBI's taxonomy places the organism in Eukaryota, Metazoa, Chordata, Mammalia, Chiroptera, Phyllostomidae. The record is from RefSeq and is a predicted model, not a curated record.
GGCGGGCCUCCGGUACGGCGUGAGGCCGCGGAAAGCGGAAAGAUUGAACCGGUACGUUGAGAAAGAGGCAAGUUUGGCGCCGUUGCGUUGCUAAGGGAGACUAGAAGUCGAAAUGAGCAGAAAGUGAGUCCAGCAAACCUAGACGUUAAGCAAGGGCGGGAGAGGAGGAUUAGCUGCGGUUUGAAAAACCGAUUGUAUAUUCAUUUGCAACAUCUGGGAAAGUAAAAGAGUGCCUAGCUAUUCGUAAGGAUAGAGUGUCAAAGGCAAAUUGUAACGGUAACGGGAAACUGUUUAAGAACAGACUGCAACUGAAAGAAUGUUGGCAGGAGGCAAGAAGAAGACAGUGGCUGCUUUGGGUCCUUUCUGGCUCUGAAAUGAAUUCUAAUAGAUUUGGAUGCAUCGUCAUCAUCUAGUCUUCUGUUCCUGCUGUACUGAGGAUAAUACAAGAAGAUUCUAAAACAAGUAGGUUUGUUAUUUUAAGCAAGCUUUUUUCCAAGUAUCCUCAAUACCUUCCCUGCCAGAUGUAGAGUGUUAUAAAGAAUCGGUGGUUAAUAUGGAGUUGAAACUGCCAUUAUCUUACUGAUGUCUAAAGCUAGAAAAUAUUUUGUGGACUUUCUGUGAGAUAUUAAUUUUCUGUAAACAUUCAGUCGAGCCACUGUAUUCAGCCGGAUGCUUAAAGCUGUGAUACUUAUUAUGAAAUACUUGAGUACAGUAGUUCCCCAUUAUCCAUGGUGGGUUUGUUCCAAGACCCCCAGUGGAUGCCUGGAGCCCUAUACAUACUACGUGUUUUCCUACACAUACAUACAUACAUACAUACCUAUGAUGAAGUUUAAUUUGUCGAUUAGGCACAAGAAGAGAUUAACAAUAACUAACAAUAAAAUAGAAUAAUUGCAAUAAUAUACUGUAAAAGUGAAGUGAAUGUGGAGCCUCUCAGAGUGUCUGGCUGUGCUGCACCCAUCCUUCCCUUUGUGAUGAGGUGAGAUGGUACCAUGUGUGCGUGACGAGGUGAAGCGAGGUGAGCGAUGCAGGCGUUGUGACGCAGUGUUAGGCUACUAUUGGCCUUCUGACGAAACGUCAAAAGGAGGAUCAUUGAGCCAUGACUUAGGAAUUAUUUCUGGAAUUUUCCAUUUAAUAUUUGCAGACCACGGUUAACUAUAACUGAAACUGCAGAAAGUGAAACUGUGAAAAAGGGGUACUGCUGUAGUCUGUUCUGAGUGGUCUGGAAACUCACUCUCUUCCUCCCAGCAAUGAGAAAUGGGCACCUACCCGUGCUUCACAGUAAGGUCUGCUCCCAGUACCACUCUGUUUCCUCGCUGUGCCAGGUGACAUCUGCGGGCGCCUGCGCCCUUCUCCUAUGGAAAUGUCUGGGGGAUGCACCCAAAGUCACAGAAUUUUGGGUCCUCCCUCUUUGAGUGAGGAAGCUAUAGUGCUCCUGCUGCUUUUGGAAAGUGGUUGGAGAUAAUAAGGGUCAGGCAGAAAUCCAAACAACAGCCAGCCUCUCAACAAAGCACUGUGUAUGAUUAUUAGUGUUCAGUUCCCUUUGGG